This 431-nucleotide unclassified non-coding RNA is filed under the name soil metagenome. Its description in RNAcentral is "partial contains 5.8S ribosomal RNA, internal transcribed spacer 2, and large subunit ribosomal RNA". The stretch from base 1 to 120 matches the Rfam family "5.8S ribosomal RNA", at positions 35 to 154 of the family's 154-position model. The record is from RNAcentral.
GAUGAAGAACGCAGCGAAAUGCGAUACGUAAUGUGAAUUGCAGAAUUCAGUGAAUCAUCGAAUCUUUGAACGCAUAUUGCGCUCUUUGGUAUUCCGAAGAGCAUGCUUGUUUGAGUAUCAGUAAACACCUCAAAAGACUUUCAUUUUUGAAAUGAUUUUGGACUUGAGCAAUCCCAACACCAGUCUUCACGGAUCGGCGGAGGGUUGCUUGAAAUGCAGGUGCAGCUGGACAUUCUCCUGAGCUAAAAGCAUAUCUAUUUAGUCCCGUCAAGCGGAUUAUUACUUUUGCUGCAGCUAACAUAAAGGGAGUUUGACCAUUUUGGCUGACUGAUGCAGGAUUUCACAAGGGUCGGUAAAACGAUUUUUGUAAAACUCGAUCUCAAAUCAAGUAAGACUACCCGCUGAACUUAAGCAUAUCAAUAAGCGGAGGA